GGAAGGAUGCCAGAGCGGACGAAUGGGACGGCCUCGAAAGCCGUUGAGGUCUUCGGGCCUCCGUGGGUUCGAAUCCCACUCCUUCUGCCA
This 90-nucleotide transfer RNA is filed under the name Acidimicrobiaceae bacterium. RNAcentral's name for it is "tRNA-Ser". It matches the Rfam family "tRNA". From Rfam's summary of the family: Transfer RNA (tRNA) molecules are approximately 80 nucleotides in length. Lineage: Bacteria; Bacillati; Actinomycetota; Acidimicrobiia; Acidimicrobiales; Acidimicrobiaceae. RNAcentral also lists the same sequence under 1 other name. The record is from RNAcentral.